UAUACCUCGUUGACAAAUUAAAUUUACAAUAUUGAAAUAAGGGUGUCACGAUCAGGUACACGCAUCACGUUCGAUCGUCGACGAUCUUUCAAUAUAUAAAAUAUAUCGAUACCAAACGAUAUGACAUUUGUUAAAAUGCAUAUACGUAUUACGUACGUACACGUACACGUGCAUACAGAAAAAUUGAGAAAAAAAUAGCAAAAUAGAGCGUGGAAGAGAGAGAGAGAGAGAUGAAAGUUCAUUGUUUACGAGGAAGGACGUCUGUCCUAACAAACGGAGUUUUCGAUGAGGUCUCGUAUUUUUCUAUUCCUGUUGCUUUCUUUUAUUUUUUGAUUUUGAUUAUUUAACUAAUUAAAUUGUAAAAAUUUUAAUAUAUAUAUAUAUAUAUAUAUAUAUAUAUAUAUAUAUAUAUAUAUAAUAUUAUUACCCUGAAAGAAAAUGAGAAUGUUUAUAGCAUUUACUAGCGGACGUAUACAAAGCAAAUCUUAUUACAAUGUUUAUAUGUUUCUUUAUAAGCUGAUGUAUCUAAAUACACCUUAUCUUAUUUACUUUUGGUCGAAUAUCGUAUGAUAUCAGUCUUUCCGCAACCACAGAGUUGGAAACUUGAAAGAUCCCGUUUAAACAUACGUUUGUAAAUAGAUAGAUAUGUAUAUAUGUACAUAUGUACAUAACUAGACACAAUAUACACACCCACACACUCAUACACAAAGUAUAUAGUAGUCUUUCUCUUGGGUAUUGCUUGAGAUUUUAUUAUAUUGUAUAGACAGUAACGAGCAACCUUUGUUCUGCAAUGAGCCAAAAUUAAAUAUCUGAUAUUGUUAUUUAUAGAAUUCAUUAUGAACUAAAAAUGCUUAUAUUGAUUAAAAAAGGAAUUAAUGCUUGAUAGAAAAAGAAAAAAUUACACAUUAUUGAAGGGUAUUUGUUAUUUUCGGCAUCAAUUUACAAUGAAAUGUUUUCUAUAAUUCCAUUGAUUUUUUAUUAGCAAUACUUUUAAUGUGUACGCAUAAAUGUAUGUAUAUAUAUUUUUGUAAUGGAACGAAAUCUAUUAGUUGUUUAUUUUUAAUUACAUAUAUGAUUCUACUUCUCGUUAAUAAACUUUACAUUAUUAUAUUGGAAGAUACAUUGGAAGAUAUUGAAAUAAACUCUAAUACAAUCUUUUAUUCGUUUGUCGUUAAAGUUACGAGUUUUGAUAAAUGAUAUCGAUACUUCGGUUAAUAGUUAAAAUGCGUUUCAACUGGCCGUAGAUAACAAAGCUCUUCACAAAUGUAUCAACGUAAGAUGUAAUACCAGUGAUUAAGAAAUUCACUAAUUAGAGUCGACUAUUGUCAUUGUUCGAUGCAAAAUGUAAGUUGUAAUUGCAUUGAUACGUACAUGAAUACGUAUAUGAUAAUGUUUUUUUAUAAACCCUGAGUUACUCAUUUCUGAUACAGAUUCAGAUAUAUACAGAUAUAUAUAUGUAUUAUAUAUUAUAUAUAAUAUGUAUAUAUAUAUACAGAGAGAGAGAGAGAGAGAGAGAGAGAGAGAGAAAGAAAUGGUAAACGAAUCGAGAUUUUGAAUGAAACAAAGAACGAUAUCAAGAUUAAAUUGAAAAGAAACUUUGUUAGCUCUUGACAAAAAGGCAUUCGAUAAGGAAGCAUUAGCCCUCCAAAGUACAAUUAUAUCAAAGACCUAUUCAAAUGAAAGACGAUUACAUAGGUAUCCUAUUAUGAUACCUUAUACUUCUUAUUAUUCAUAUAAAAGAAAAGAAGAAGAAAAAAAACAGUUAAGAAGAUUAAGAAAGUAAUUUCAUGUUUAUUUCCCAAUAUCUUCAAUUAUGAUUGAUUUAUAAAGACAAUAAGAAUAAUAAUAACAAUAAUAAUAACAACAAUAAUAUGAAGAAGAAGAAGAAGAAGAAGAAUAAAGUAUCUUGUUAUAUUCAAUUUUGCUUUCUUGUUCUUAUGUAGUAUAUGUAUCUACUACAAUGUAAAUUUUAAUGUGGGAUUUUAUUUAAACGUGUCAUUUAAUGCGUAUUAUGAUUAAUAUGCAUUAUUCAAACACAUAUCAAUGUAUGUGUAUUUAAAUGAAUAUAGAAUUUAUACCUCGUUGACAAAUUAAAUUUACAAUAUUGAAAUAAGGGUGUCACGAUCAGGUACACGUAUCACGUUCGAUCCUCGACGAUCUUUCUGUAUAUAAAAUAUAUCGAUACCAAACGAUAUUACAUUCGUUAAAAUGCAUAUACGUAUUACGUACGUACGCGUACACGUGCAUACAGAAAAAUUAAGAAAAAAAUAGCAAAAUAGAGCAAGGAAGAGACAGAGAGAGAGAGAGAUAGAUGAAAGUUCAUUGUUUUCGAGGAAGGACGUCUGUCCUAACGAACGAAGUUUACGAUGAUGUCUCGUAUUUUUCUAUUCCUGUUGCUUUCUUUUCUUUUUUUGAUUUUGAUUAAUUAACUAAUUAAAUUAUAAAAAUUUAAAUAUAUAUAUAUAUAUAUAUAUAUAUAUAUAAUAUUAUUACCCUGAAAGAAAAAGAGAAUGUUUAUAGCAUUUACUAGCGGACGUAUACAAAGCAAAUCUUAUUACAAUGUUUAUAUGUUUCUUUAUAAGCUGAUGUAUCUAAAUACACCUUAUCUUAUUUACUUUUGGUCGAAUAUCGUAUGAUAUCAGUCUUUCCGCAACCACCGAGGUGGAAUGUUGGAAGAUCCCAUAUAAACAUACGUUUGUAAAUAGAUACAUAUGUAUAUAUGUACAUAUGUACAUAACUAGACACAAUAUACACACCCACACACUCAUACACAAAGUAUAUAGUAGACUUUCUCUUGGGUAUUGCUUGAGAUUUUAUUAUAUUGUAUAGACAGUAACGAGCAACCUUUGUUCUGCAAUGAGCCAAAAUUAAAUAUCUGAUAUUGUUAUUUAUAGAAUUCAUUAUGAACUAAAAAUGCUUAUAUUGAUUAAAAAAGGAAUUAAUGCUUGAUAGAAAAAGAAAAAAUUACACAUUAUUGAAGGGUAUUUGUUAUUUUCGGCAUCAAUUUACAAUGAAAUGUUUUCUAUAAUUCCAUUGAUUUUUUAUUAGCAAUACUUUUAAUGUGUACGCAUAAAUGUAUGUAUAUAUAUUUUUGUAAUGGAACGAAAUCUAUUAGUUGUUUAUUUUUAAUUAGAUAUAUGAUUCUACUUCUCGUUAAUAAACUUUACAUUAUUAUAUUGGAAGAUACAUUGGAAGAUAUUGAAAUAAACUCUAAUACAAUCUUUUAUUCGUUUGUCGUUAAAGUUACGAGUUUUGAUAAAUGAUAUCGAUACUUCGGUUAAUAGUUAAAAUGCGUUUCAACUGGCCGUAGAUAACAAAGCUCUUCACAAAUGUAUCAACGUAAGAUGUAAUACCAGUGAUUAAGAAAUUCACUAAUUAGAGUCGACUAUUGUCAUUGUUCGAUGCAAAAUGUAAGUUGUAAUUGCAUUGAUACGUACAUGAAUACGUAUAUGAUAAUGUUUUUUUAUAAACCCUGAGUUACUCAUUUCUGAUACAGAUUCAGAUAUAUACAGAUAUAUAUAUGUAUUAUAUAUUAUAUAUAAUAUGUAUAUAUAUAUACAGAGAGAGAGAGAGAGAGAGAGAAAGAAAUGGUAAACGAAUCGAGAAUUUGAAUGAAACAAAGAACGAUAUCGAGAUUAAAUUGAAAAGAAACUUUGUUAGCUCUUGACAAAAAGGCAUUCGAUAAGGAAGCAUUAGCCGUCCAAAGUACAAUUAUAUCAAAGACCUAUUCAAAUGAAAGACGAUUACAUAGGUAUCCUAUUAUGAUACCUUAUACUUCUUAUUAUUCAUAUAAAAGAAAAGAAGAAGAAAAAAAACAGUUAAGAAGAUUAAGAAAGAAAUUUCAUGUUUAUUUCCCAAUAUCUUCAAUUAUGAUUGAUUUAUAAAGACAAUAAGAAUAAUAAUAACAAUAAUAAUAACAACAAUAAUAUGAAGAAGAAGAAGAAGAAGAACAAAGUAUCUUGGUAUAUUCAAUUUUGCUUUCUUGUUCUUAUGUGGUAUAUGUAGCUAGUACAAUGUAAAUUAUAAUGUGGGAUUUUAUUUAAACGUGUCAUUUAAUGCGUAUUAUGAUUUAUAUGCAUUAUUCAAACACAUAUCAAUGUAUGUGUAUUUAAAUGAAUAUAGAAUUUAUACCUCGUUGACAAAUUAAAUUUACAAUAUUGAAAUAAGGGUGUCACGAUCAGGUACACGCAUCACGUUCGAUCGUCGACGAUCUUUCAAUAUAUAAAAUAUAUCGAUACCAAACGAUAUUACAUUUGUUAAAAGGCAUAUACGUAUUACGUACAUACGCGUACACGUGCAUACAGAAAAAUUGAGAAAAAAAUAGCAAAAUAGAGCGAGGAAGAGAGAGAGAGAGAGAUGAAAGUUCAUUGUUUACGAGGAAGGACGUCUGUCCUAACAAACGGAGUUUUCGAUGAGGUCUCGUAUUUUUCUAUUCCUGUUGCUUUCUUUUAUUUUUUGAUUUUGAUUAUUUAACUAAUUAAAUUAUAAAAAUUUUAAUAUAUAUAUAUAUAUAUAUAUAUAUAUAUAUAAUAUUAUUACCCUGAAAGAAAAAGAGAAUGUUUAUAGCAUUUACUAGCGGACGUAUACAAAGCAAAUCUUAUUACAAUGUUUAUAUGUUUCUUUAUAAGCUGAUGUAUCUAAAUACACCUUAUCUUAUUUACUUUUGGUCGAAUAUCGUAUGAUAUCAGUCUUUCCGCAACCACCGAGGUGGAAUGUUGGAAGAUCCCAUAUAAACAUACGUUUGUAAAUAGAUACAUAUGUAUAUAUGUACAUAUGUACAUAACUAGAUACAUAAUAUACACACCCACACACACAUACACAAAGUAUAUAGUAGUCUUUCUCUUGGGUAUUACUUGAGAUUUUAUUAUAUUGUAUAGACAGUAACGAGCAACCUUUGUGCUGCAAGGAGCCAAAAUUACAUGUCUGAUAUUGUUAUUGAUACAAUUCAUUAUGAACUAAAAAUGUUUAAAUUGAUUAGAAAAGAAAUUAAAACUUGAUAGAAAAAGAAAAAAUUUUACAUUAUUGAAGGGUAUUUGUUAUUUUCGGCAUCAAUUUACAAUGAAAUGUUUUCUAUAAUUCCAUUGAUUUUCUAUUAGCAAUACUUUUAAUGUGUACGCAUAAGUGUAUGUAUAUAUAUUUUUGUAAUGGAACGAAAUCUAUUAGUUGUUUAUUUUUAAUUAGAUAUAUGAUUCUACUUCUGGUUAAUAAACUUUACAUUAUUAUAUUGGAAGAUACAAUGGAAGAUAUCGAAUUAAACUCUAAUACAAUGUUUUAUUCGUUUGUCGUUAACGUUAAGACUUUUGAUAAAAGAUUUCAGUACUUCGGUUAAUAGUUAAAAUGCCUUUCAACUGGCCGUAGAUAACAAAGCUCUUCACUAAUGUAUCAACGUAAGAUGUAAUACCACUGAUUAAGAAAUUCACUAAUUAUAGUCGACUAUUGUCAUUCUUCGAUGCAAAAUGUAAGUUGUAAUUGCAUUGAUACGUACAUGAAUACGUAUAUGAUAAUGUUUUUUUAUAAACCCUGAGUUACUCAUUUCUGAUACAGAUUCAGAUAUAUACAGAUAUAUAUAUGUAUUAUAUAUUAUAUAUAAUAUGUAUAUAUAUAUACAGAGAGAGAGAGAGAGAGAGAGAAAGAAAUGGUAAACGAAUCGAGAAUUUGAAUGAAACAAAGAACGAUAUCGAGAUUAAAUUGAAAAGAAACUUUGUUAGCUCUUGACAAAAAGGCAUUCGAUAAGGAAGCAUUAGCCGUCCAAAGUACAAUUAUAUCAAAGACCUAUUCAAAUGAAAGACGAUUACAUAGGUAUCCUAUUAUGAUACCUUAUACUUCUUAUUAUUCAUAUAAAAGAAAAGAAGAAGAAAAAAAACAGUUAAGAAGAUUAAGAAAGAAAUCUCAUCUUUAUUUCCCAAUAUCUUCAAUUAUGAUAGAUUUCUAAAUACAAUAAGGAUAAUAAUAACAAUAAUAACAACAACAAAAAUAUGAAGAAGAAGAAGAAGAAGAAGAAUAAAGUAUCUUGGUAUAUUCAAUUUUGCUUUCUUGUUCUUAUGUGGUAUAUGUAUCUAGUACAAUGUAAAUUUUAAUGUGGGAUUUCAAUUAAACGUGUCAUUUAAUUCGUAUUAUGAUUAAUAUGCAUUAUUCAUACACAUAUCAAUGUAUGUGUAUUUAAAUGAAUAUAGAGUUUAUACCUCGUUGACAAAUUAAAUUUACAAUAUUGAUAUAAGGGUGUCACGAUCAGGUACACGCAUCACGUUCGAUCGUCGACGAUCUUUCUAUAUACAAAAUAUAUCGAUACCAAACGAUAUUACAUUUGUUAAAAGGCAUAUACGUAUUACGUACAUACGCGUACACGUGCAUACAGAAAAAUUAAGAAAAAAAUAGCAAAAUAGAGCGAGGAAGAGAGAGAAAGAGAGAGAUGAAAGUUCAUUGUUUACGAGGAAGGACGUCUGUCCUAACAAACGGAGUUUUCGAUGAGGUCUCGUAUUUUUCUAUUCCUGUUGCUUUCUUUUAUUUUUUGAUUUUGAUUAUUUAACUAAUUAAAUUGUAAAAAUUUUAAUAUAUA
Molecule: long non-coding RNA, 6556 nt
Organism: Vespula vulgaris
Lineage: Eukaryota; Metazoa; Arthropoda; Insecta; Hymenoptera; Vespidae
Exons: 4
Source: RefSeq, a predicted model, not a curated record